AUGAAGUUCCCUGCUCAGCUUCUGGGGCUCCUCAUGCUCUGGUUUCCAGGAUCCAGUGGGGAUGUCGUAAUGACACAGACCCCACUGUCCCUGCCCGUCACCCUUGGAGAACCGGCCUCCAUCUCCUGCAGGGCCAGUCAGAGCCUCCUACACAGUAAUGGAUACAAUUAUUUGCAUUGGUACCUGCAAAAGCCAGGCCAGUCUCCACAGCUUCUGAUCUAUGCGGCUUCUCACCGUUUCACUGGGGUCCCAGACAAGUUCAGUGGCAGUGGGUCAGGGACAGAUUUCACCCUGAGGAUCAGCAGGGUGGAGGCUGAUGAUGUUGGAGUUUAUUACUGCCAGCAAAGUAUACAUGCUCCUUGCACAGUGGUUUAG
Neomonachus schauinslandi (Hawaiian monk seal) is the source of this 375-nucleotide non-coding RNA. The record is from the annotation of a RefSeq genome assembly. NCBI's taxonomy places the organism in Eukaryota, Metazoa, Chordata, Mammalia, Carnivora, Phocidae.